UUGAACGCUGGCGGCAUGCCUUACACAUGCAAGUCGAACGGCAGCACGGGUGCUUGCACCUGGUGGCGGGUGGCGAACGGGUGAGUAAUACAUCGGAACAUGUCCUGUAGUGGGGGAUAGCCCGGCGAAAGCCGGAUUAAUACCGCAUACGAUCUACGGAUGAAAGCGGGGGACCUUCGGGCCUCGCGCUAUAGGGUUGGCCGAUGGCUGAUUAGCUAGUUGGUGGGGUAAAGGCCUACCAAGGCGACGAUCAGUAGCUGGUCUGAGAGGACGACCAGCCACACUGGGACUGAGACACGGCCCAGACUCCUACGGGAGGCAGCAGUGGGGAAUUUUGGACAAUGGGCGAAAGCCUGAUCCAGCAAUGCCGCGUGUGUGAAGAAGGCCUUCGGGUUGUAAAGCACUUUUGUCCGGAAAGAAAUCCUUGGCUCUAAUACAGUCGGGGGAUGACGGUACCGGAAGAAUAAGCACCGGCUAACUACGUGCCAGCAGCCGCGGUAAUACGUAGGGUGCGAGCGUUAAUCGGAAUUACUGGGCGUAAAGCGUGCGCAGGCGGUUUGCUAAGACCGAUGUGAAAUCCCCGGGCUCAACCUGGGAACUGCAUUGGUGACUGGCAGGCUAGAGUAUGGCAGAGGGGGGUAGAAUUCCACGUGUAGCAGUGAAAUGCGUAGAGAUGUGGAGGAAUACCGAUGGCGAAGGCAGCCCCCUGGGCCAAUACUGACGCUCAUGCACGAAAGCGUGGGGGAGCAAACAGGAUUAGAUACCCUGGUAGUCCACGCCCUAAACGAUGUCAACUAGUUGUUGGGGAUUCAUUUCCUUAGUAACGUAGCUAACGCGUGAAGUUGACCGCCUGGGGAGUACGGUCGCAAGAUUAAAACUCAAAGGAAUUGACGGGGACCCGCACAAGCGGUGGAUGAUGUGGAUUAAUUCGAUGCAACGCGAAAAACCUUACCUACCCUUGACAUGGUCGGAAUCCCGCUGAGAGGUGGGAGUGCUCGAAAGAGAACCGGCGCACAGGUGCUGCAUGGCUGUCGUCAGCUCGUGUCGUGAGAUGUUGGGUUAAGUCCCGCAACGAGCGCAACCCUUGUCCUUAGUUGCUACGCAAGAGCACUCUAAGGAGACUGCCGGUGACAAACCGGAGGAAGGUGGGGAUGACGUCAAGUCCUCAUGGCCCUUAUGGGUAGGGCUUCACACGUCAUACAAUGGUCGGAACAGAGGGUUGCCAACCCGCGAGGGGGAGCUAAUCCCAGAAAACCGAUCGUAGUCCGGAUUGCACUCUGCAACUCGAGUGCAUGAAGCUGGAAUCGCUAGUAAUCGCGGAUCAGCAUGCCGCGGUGAAUACGUUCCCGGGUCUUGUACACACCGC
RNAcentral lists this ribosomal RNA (1366 nucleotides) under uncultured beta proteobacterium. RNAcentral describes it as "bacterial SSU rRNA". It matches the Rfam family "Bacterial small subunit ribosomal RNA", at positions 29 to 1393 of the family's 1533-position model. Lineage: Bacteria; Pseudomonadati; Pseudomonadota; Betaproteobacteria. The record is from RNAcentral.